CUGUGGUGGUGACGUGGGGGAGCACACUUGCCGGAAUCUGCUGGAUUGUGAGGUGGGUACGGUUCUCGGCACCUUUUUUUUUUUUUUUGGUACUGGGGACUGAACCCAGGGGGGCUUUGCCCCUGAGCCACAUGCCUGCCCUUUUGUGUUUUUUCAUCUUGAGACAGGCUCUCACUACGUUACUUAGGCCCUUGCUACACUGCCGAGGCUGGCCUUGAACCUGCGACCCUCCUGGACCGCUGGGAUUGCAGCUACUCCACCCUGCUGGGCUCUGUGGUGUAAGUUUCAUCUGAAAGUAAAAGUCGCCACCCAGAUCUGCUUGGCAAGGUCUCCUCUGUCCGGCGAGGACCGCCUCCCCCAAGGGUUCUGCAGGUUCCCAUUUCUCCACUUUCCCGCUCUGCAGGAUGAGCGUCCACCUCGGCCUUCACCACACAGAUGUCCGUGACGUCGAAUUGAAGCCAGAUUUGUUGGGAGUCACUCCAGCUCCAAAGACUGACUUCCCCAUCCCCCCCUCAGAGAGCUGUCCAAUGGUGAGCCCUGCUGACUCACGUGAUCCUUACCCACCAAUCAGAAAGCACCCCGUGCCAACUGUCAAACGGUUAAACUGUUAAACCGUCAUAACUGUCAGUCCACCCCCGGCUCUAUAAAUAUGCAGAGCUGUUCCUCAAUAAAUGGGCAUUUUCUCCGAUGAAGAGCCUUGUUCGUUCUUUCAAGAUUCAUGAAAAUAAAGAAAGACAACAGCUACCAUAUAUUAAGCACCUACUAUGUGCCAAACUGUAUGCUAACAUUUACACACAUUUUAGUCAUAC
RNAcentral lists this long non-coding RNA (809 nucleotides) under Marmota monax (woodchuck). Lineage: Eukaryota; Metazoa; Chordata; Mammalia; Rodentia; Sciuridae. The record is from RNAcentral.